Long non-coding RNA from Scylla paramamosain (green mud crab), 354 nucleotides. RefSeq lists it as uncharacterized. The transcript is spliced from 2 exons. NCBI's taxonomy places the organism in Eukaryota, Metazoa, Arthropoda, Malacostraca, Decapoda, Portunidae. The record is from RefSeq and is a predicted model, not a curated record.
GAGAGAGAGAGAGAGAGAGAGAGAGAGAGAGAGAGAGAGAGAGAGAGAGAGAGAGAGAGAGAGAGAGAGAGAGAGAGAGAGAGAGAGAGAGAGAGAGAGAGAGAGAGAGAGGCUGUGAAAGGCUGGAAGAGGCUGUGAGAAUUUGGGACAGUUUGGGGUGAGUCUGGAAUGGUCUGGAUACACUGGGAAUGAGAUAGAGUGAGAGAGAGGCUGUGAGUGGCUGUGAAUAGCUGGGAGAGGGUGUGAUAGGUUGUGAGAGGCUGAGAAAAGACAGUGAGAGGGUGGAGAAAAUAAUGGGAAACUGGAAAAAUGAAAAGGAGAGAUAGAAAGAGACACACAGGUAGACAGACACAC